Molecule: ribosomal RNA, 402 nt
Filed under: uncultured bacterium
Lineage: Bacteria
Description: bacterial SSU rRNA
Rfam family: Bacterial small subunit ribosomal RNA
Source: RNAcentral
UGGGAAUCUUGCGCAAUGGGCGAAAGCCUGACGCAGCGACGCCGCGUGAGCGAUGAAGGCCUUCGGGUUGUAAAGCUCUGUGGGGAGAGAAGAAUAAGGGUUGGCUAACAUCCAACCUGAUGACGGUAUCUCCUUAGCAAGCACCGGCUAACUCUGUGCCAGCAGCCGCGGUAAGACAGAGGGUGCAAACGUUGUUCGGAAUCACUGGGCGUAAAGCGCGUGUAGGCGGCUUGGCAAGUCGGAUGUGAAAUCCCACGGCUCAACCAUGGAAGUGCAUUCGAAACUGCCAGACUAGAGUCCUGGAGAGGAAGGCGGAAUACUCGGUGUAGAGGUGAAAUUCGUAGAUAUCGAGUGGAACACCGGUGGCGAAGGCGGCCUUCUGGACAGUGACUGACGCUGAAA